UGAGAGRGUGACCGGCCACACUGGGACUGAGACACGGCCCAGACUCCUACGGGAGGCAGCAGUGGGGAAUAUUGCACAAUGGGCGCAAGCCUGAUGCAGCGACGCCGCGUGAGGGAUGACGGCCUUCGGGUUGUAAACCUCUUUCAGUAGGGAAGAAGCUUUCGGGUGACGGUACCUGCAGAAGAAGCGCCGGCUAACUACGUGCCAGCAGCCGCGGUAAUACGUARGGCGCGAGCGUUAUCCGGAAUUAUUGGGCGUAAAGAGCUCGUAGGCGGUUUGUCGCGUCUGCCGUGAAAGUCCGGGGCUUAACCCCGGAUCUGCGGUGGGUACGGGCAGACUAGAGUGCAGUAGGGGAGACCGGAAUUCCUGGUGUAGCGGUGAAAUGCGCAGAUAUCAGGAGGAACACCGAUGGCGAAGGCAGGUCUCUGGGCUGUUACUGACGCUGAGGAGCGAAAGCAUGGGGAGCGAACAGGAUUAGAUACCCUGGUAGUCCAUGCCGUAAACGUUGGGCACUAGGUGUGGGGGACAUUCCACGUUUUCCGCGCCGCAGCUAACGCAUUAAGUGCCCCGCCUGGGGAGUACGGCCGCAAGGCUAAAACUCAAAGGAAUUGACGGGGGCCCGCACAAGCGGCGGAGCAUGCGGAUUAAUUSGAUGCAACGSGAAGAACCUUACCAAGGCUUGACAUGUUCCCGACCGGGCCAGAGAUGGUCUUUCCCCUUUGGGGCGGGUUCACAGGUGGUGCAUGGUUGUCGUCAGCUCGUGUCGUGAGAUGUUGGGUUAAGUCCCGCAACGAGCGCAACCCUCGUUCCAUGUUGCCAGCGGGUUAUGCCGGGGACUCAUGGGAGACUGCCGGGGUCAACUCGGAGGAAGGUGGGGACGACGUCAAAUCAUCAUGCCCCUUAUGUCUUGGGCUUCACGCAUGCUACAAUGGCCGGUACAAUGGGUUGCGAUACUGUGAGGUGGAGCUAAUCCCAAAAAGCCGGUCUCAGUUCGGAUUGGGGUCUGCAACUCGACCCCAUGAAGUCGGAGUCGCUAGUAAUCGCAGAUCAGCAACGCUGCGGUGAAUACGUUCCCGGGCCUUGUACACACCGCCCGUCAAGUCACGAAAGUCGGUAACACCCGAAGCCGGUGGCCCAACCCUUGUG
This 1146-nucleotide ribosomal RNA is filed under the name Citricoccus sp. RNAcentral describes it as "bacterial SSU rRNA". The record is from RNAcentral. Lineage: Bacteria; Bacillati; Actinomycetota; Actinomycetes; Micrococcales; Micrococcaceae.